GGUCAUGAGCGCCAGCUGUCAGCCCCGGCUAGCUGGCCGGCAACCCUCCAACCGCGGUGGGGUGCCCCGGGUGAUGACCGGGUUACUCGACUCCGCGCACCACGCGCGGGACGUCGAUGGCAAGCGCGGGUC
Molecule: non-coding RNA, 132 nt
Filed under: Rhodococcus sp. (in: high G+C Gram-positive bacteria)
Lineage: Bacteria; Bacillati; Actinomycetota; Actinomycetes; Mycobacteriales; Nocardiaceae
Also listed under: 1 other name
Description: Rhodococcus sp. SAM-IV sequence
Rfam family: SAM (S-adenosyl methionine) riboswitch aptamer
About the family: SAM-IV is a mRNA element that regulates gene expression via direct sensing of S-adenosylmethionine (SAM or AdoMet). SAM-IV riboswitches share conserved nucleotide positions with the previously described SAM-I riboswitches sequence analysis and molecular recognition experiments suggest that SAM-I and SAM-IV riboswitches share similar ligand binding sites, but have different scaffolds.
Source: RNAcentral